RNAcentral lists this ribosomal RNA (477 nucleotides) under uncultured Planctomycetota bacterium. RNAcentral describes it as "bacterial SSU rRNA". It matches the Rfam family "Bacterial small subunit ribosomal RNA", at positions 365 to 832 of the family's 1533-position model. The record is from RNAcentral. Lineage: Bacteria; Pseudomonadati; Planctomycetota.
UUCGCAAUGCCCGAAAGGGUGACGAAGCGACGCCGCGUGUGGGAAGAAGGCCUUCGGGUUGUGAACCACUGUCGGGAGUUAAGAAAUGUAAGGGUGUUAAUAGCGCCUUUACUUGACAAAGGCUCCGGAGGAAGCCACGGCUAACUCUGUGCCAGCAGCCGCGGUAAUACAGAGGCGGCAAGCGUUGUUCGGAAUUAUUGGGCGUAAAGAGCACGUAGGCGGCUUUGCAAGUCAGUUGUGAAAGCCUUCCGCUUAACGGAAGAACAGCAGCUGAUACUACAGAGCUUGAGUACGGGAGGGGAGAGUGGAACUUCUGGUGGAGCGGUGAAAUGCGUAGAUAUCAGAAGGAACGCCGGCGGCGAAAGCGAUUCUCUGGUCCGAAACUGACGCUGAGUGUGCGAAAGCUAGGGGAUCAAACGGGAUUAGAUACCCCGGUAGUCCUAGCCGUAAACGAUGGGCACUAAGUAGAGGGGUUUU